RNAcentral lists this long non-coding RNA (3063 nucleotides) under Setaria viridis. RNAcentral's name for it is "long non-coding RNA (SVIR_LNC001881)". The record is from RNAcentral. Lineage: Eukaryota; Viridiplantae; Streptophyta; Magnoliopsida; Poales; Poaceae.
CCCGGCAAUAGUGCAUUCGGGUGCCGAAAUGCACCCGUUUUGCAUCAUUUUUCGUGCCGGAACCGAAUGCCCAAAAACACUCCCAAACAUGUUCUAGUGUAUAUUUAGGAAGAUUGCAUGCGUUCGUUGCGAAAAAAUCCACCCGAGUUUCGCUACCCGGCAAUAGUGCAUUCGGGUGCCGAAAUGCACCCGUUUUGCAUCAUUUUUCGUGCCGGAACCGAAUGCCCAAAAAUACUCCCAAACAUGUUCUAGUGUAUAUUUAGGAAGAUUGCAUGCGUUCGUUGCGAAAAAAUCCACCCGAGUUUCGCUACCUGGCAAUAGUGCAGUCGGGUGCCGAAAUGCACCCGUUUUGCAUCAUUUUUCGUGCCGGAACCGAAUGCCCAAAAACACUCCCAAACAUGUUCUAGGGUCUAAUUAGGUAGAUUGGAUGCGUUCGUUGCGAAAAAAUCCACCCGAGUUUCGCUACCCGGCAAUAGUGCAUUCGGGUGCCGAAAUGCACCCGUUUUGCAUCAUUUUUCGUGCCGGAACCGAAUGCCCAAAAACACUCCAAAAUAUGUUCUAGUGUAUAUUUAGGAAGAUUUGAUGCGUUCGUUGCGAAAAAAUCCACCCGAGUAUCGCUACCCGGCAAUAGUGCAUUCGAGUGCCGAAAUGCACCCGUUUUGCAUCAUUUUUCGUGCCGGAACCGAAUGCCCAAAAACACUCCCAAACAUGUUCUAGUGUAUAUUUAGGAAGAUUGGAUGCGUUCGUUGCGAAAAAAUCCACCCGAGUUUCGCUACCCGGCAAUAGUGCAUUCGGGUGCCGAAAUGCACCCGUUUUGCAUCAUUUUUCGUGCCGGAACCGAAUGCCCAAAAACACUCCCAAACCUGUUCUAGUGUAUAUUUAGGAAGAUUGGAUGCGUUCGUUGCGAAAAAAUCCACCCGAGUUUCGCUACCCGGCAAUAGUGCAUUCGGGUGCCGAAAUGCACCCUUUUGCAUCGUUUUUCGUGCCGGAACCGAAUGCCCAAAAACACUCCCAAACCUGUUCUAGUGUAUAUUUAGGAAGAUUGCAUGCGUUCGUUGCGAAAAAAUCCACCCGAGUUUCGCUACCCGGCAAUAGUGCAUUCGAGUGCCGAAAUGCACCCGUUUUGCAUCGUUUUUCGUGCCGGAACCGAAUGCCCAAAAACACUCCCAAACAUGUUCUAGUGUAUAUUUAGGAAGAUUGGAUGCGUUCGUUGCGAAAAAAUCCACCCGAGUUUUGCUACCCGGCAAUAGUGCAUUCGGGUGCCGAAAUGCACCUGUUUUGCAUCGUUUUUCGUGCCGGAACCGAAUGCCCAAAAACACUCCCAAACAUGUUCUAGGGUCUAAUUAGGUAGAUUGGAUGCGUUCGUUGCGAAAAAAUCCACCCGAGUUUCGCUACCCGGCAAUAGUGCAUUCGGGUGCCGAAAUGCACCCGUUUUGCAUCAUUUUUCGUGCCGGAACCGAAUGCCCAAAAACACUCCCAAACAUGUUCUAGUGUAUAUUUAGGAAGAUUGCAUGCGUUCGUUGCGAAAAAAUCCACCCGAGUUUCGCUACCCGGCAAUAGUGCAUUCGGGUGCCGAAAUGCACCCGUUUUGCAUCAUUUUUCGUGCCGGAACCGAAUGCCCAAAAAUACUCCCAAACAUGUUCUAGUGUAUAUUUAGGAAGAUUGCAUGCGUUCGUUGCGAAUAAAUCCACCCGAGUUUCGCUACCUGGCAAUAGUGCAGUCGGGUGCCGAAAUGCACCCGUUUUGCAUCAUUUUUCGUGCCGGAACCGAAUGCCCAAAAACACUCCCAAACAUGUUCUAGGGUCUAAUUAGGUAGAUUGGAUGCGUUCGUUGCGAAAAAAUCCACCCGAGUUUCGCUACCCGGCAAUAGUGCAUUCGGGUGCCGAAAUGCACCCGUUUUGCAUCAUUUUUCGUGCCGGAACCGAAUGCCCAAAAACACUCCCAAACAUGUUCUAGUGUAUAUUUAGGAAGAUUGCAUGCGUUCGUUGCGAAAAAAUCCACCCGAGUAUCGCUACCCGGCAAUAGUGCAUUCGAGUGCCGAAAUGCACCCGUUUUGCAUCAUUUUUCGUGCCGGAACCGAAUGCCAAAAAACACUCCCAAACAUGUUCUAGGGUCUAAUUAGGUAGAUUGGAUGCGUUCGUUGCGAAAAAAUCCAGCCGAGUUUUGCUACCCGGCAAUAGUGCAUUCGGGUGCCGAAAUGCACCCGUUUUGCAUCGUUUUUCGUGCCGGAACCGAAUGCCCAAAAACACUCCCAAACAUGUUCUAGUGUAUAUUUAGGAAGAUUGGAUGCGUUCGUUGCGAAAAAAUCCACGCGAGUUUCGCUACCCGGCAAUAGUGCAUUCGGGUGCCGAAAUGCACCCGUUUUGCAUCGUUUUUCGUGCCGGAACCGAAUGCCCAAAAACACUCCCAGACAUGUUCUAGGGUCUAAUUAGGUAGAUUGGAUGCGUUCGUUGCGAAAAAAUCCACCCGAGUUUCGCUACCCGGCAAUAGUGCAUUCGGGUGCCGAAAUGCACCCGUUUUGCAUCGUUUUUCGUGCCGGAACCGAAUGCCCAAAAACACUCCCAAACAUGUUCUAGUGUCUAAUUAGGUAGAUUGGAUGCCUUCGUUGCGAAAAAAUCCACCCGAGUUUCGCUACCCGGCAAUAGUGCAUUCGGGUGCCGAAAUGCACCUGUUUUGCAUCAUUUUUCGUGCCGGAACCAAAUGCCCAAAAACACUCCCAAACAUGUUCUAGUGUAUAUUUAGGAAGAUUGCAUGCGUUCGUUGCGAAAAAAUCCACCCGAGUUUCGCUACCCGGCAAUAGUGCAUUCGGGUGCCGAAAUGCACCCGUUUUGCAUCAUUUUUCGUGCCGGAACCGAAUGCCCAAAAACACUCCCAAACAUGUUCUAGUGUAUAUUUAGGAAGAUUGCAUGCGUUCGUUGCGAAAAAAUCCACCCGAGUUUCGCUACCCGGCAAUAGUGCAUUCGGGUGCCGAAAUGCACCCGUUUUGCAUCAUUUUUCGUGCCGGAACCGAAUGCCCAAAAAUACUCCCAAACAUGUUCUAGUGUAUAUUUAGGAAGAUUGCAU